This 244-nucleotide unclassified non-coding RNA is filed under the name plant metagenome. RNAcentral's name for it is "partial contains small subunit ribosomal RNA, internal transcribed spacer 1, and 5.8S ribosomal RNA". The record is from RNAcentral.
UCUCCGUUGGUGAACCAGCGGAGGGAUCAUUACCGAGUUUACAACUCCCAAACACAAGGUGAACCAUACCAAACUGUUGCCUCGGCGGGGUCACGCCCCGGGUGCGUCGCAGCCCCGGAACCAGGCGCCCGCCGGAGGGACCAACCAAACUCUUUCUGUAGUCCCCUCGCGGACGUUAUUUUUACAGCUCUGAGCAAAAAUUCAAAAUGAAUCAAAACUUUCAACAACGGAUCUCUUGGUUCUG